Molecule: ribosomal RNA, 451 nt
Filed under: uncultured bacterium
Lineage: Bacteria
Description: partial 16S ribosomal RNA
Rfam family: Bacterial small subunit ribosomal RNA
Source: RNAcentral
UUGCCAGACUCCUACGGGAGGCAGCAGUGGGGAAUAUUGGGCAAUGGGCGCAAGCCUGACCCAGCAACGCCGCGUGAAGGAAGAAGGCUUUCGGGUUGUAAACUUCUUUUCUCAGGGACGAAGAAAGUGACGGUACCUGAGGAAUAAGCCACGGCUAACUACGUGCCAGCAGCCGCGGUAAUACGUAGGGGGCAAGCGUUAUCCGGAUUCACUGGGUGUAAAGGGAGCGUAGACGGCGGCGCAAGUCUGGAGUGAAAGCCCGGGGCCCAACCCCGGGACUGCUCUGGAAACUGCGGCGCUGGAGUACGGGAGGGGCAGGCGGAAUUCCUGGUGUAGCGGUGAAAUGCGUAGAUAUCAGGAGGAACACCGGUGGCGAAGGCGGCCUGCUGGACUGCGACUGACGUUGAGGCCCGAAAGCGUGGGGAGCAAACAGGAUUAGAUACCCCCGUAA